CAUGCAAGUGCGAGCGCCCCGCAAGGGGAGCGGCAGACGGGUGAGUGACGCGUGGGAACGUACCAUUUGCUACGGAAUAACUCAGGGAAACUUGUGCUAAUACCGUAUGAGCCCGAAAGGGGAAAGAUUUAUCGGCAAAUGAUCGGCCCGCGUUGGAUUAGCUAGUUGGUGGGGUAAAGGCCUACCAAGGCGACGAUCCAUAGCUGGUCUGAGAGGAUGAUCAGCCACACUGGGACUGAGACACGGCCCAGACUCCUACGGGAGGCAGCAGUGGGGAAUAUUGGACAAUGGGCGCAAGCCUGAUCCAGCCAUGCCGCGUGAGUGAUGAAGGCCCUAGGGUUGUAAAG
This 347-nucleotide ribosomal RNA is filed under the name bacterium SP10. RNAcentral describes it as "bacterial SSU rRNA". It matches the Rfam family "Bacterial small subunit ribosomal RNA", at positions 54 to 430 of the family's 1533-position model. The record is from RNAcentral.